GACGAACGCUGGCGGCGUGCUUAACACAUGCAAGUCGAACGGAAAGGCCCUGCUUUUGUGGGGUGCUCGAGUGGCGAACGGGUGAGUAACACGUGAGUAACCUGCCCUUGACUUUGGGAUAACUCCAGGAAACUGGGGCUAAUACCGGAUAGGAGCUCCUGCUGCAUGGUGGGGGUUGGAAAGUUUCGGCGGUUGGGGAUGGACUCGCGGCUUAUCAGCUUGUUGGUGGGGUAGUGGCUUACCAAGGCUUUGACGGGUAGCCGGCCUGAGAGGGUGACCGGCCACAUUGGGACUGAGAUACGGCCCAGACUCCAACGGGAGGCAGCAGUGGGAAAUAUUGCACAAUGGGCGGAAGCCUGAUGCGGCAACGCCGCGUGCGGGAUGACGGCCUUCGGGUUGUGAACCGCUUUCGCCUGUGACGAAGCGUGAGUGACGGUAAUGGGUAAAGAAGCACCGGCUAACUACGUG
RNAcentral lists this ribosomal RNA (468 nucleotides) under uncultured bacterium. RNAcentral describes it as "partial 16S ribosomal RNA". It matches the Rfam family "Bacterial small subunit ribosomal RNA", at positions 28 to 507 of the family's 1533-position model. The record is from RNAcentral.